CUUUACCAACAUAAAUAAUAAUAACAACAAUAAUUCAUUAACCUCUUACCUCCAGUUCCACUCAGCUUGUCCUCCAGCCACAGUCUGGAACCUCUACCUCCUGCCUUGUCCCCUCUCCUCACAGCCCCCAGAGAAAUGAUUAACUACUUCUGGAGGGGCAAUUAAUCUCCCUCAGUAGUUAACUUUUCACAGGCUGCUGCCAACCCCAACAGGGCAGGUGUGUGAGGCAGCAGCAUCUUUCUCCAGGGCUCACCCAUGCAGGGCUGAGCCACUUUUGGGGAAAGGCCCCUAGAGCAGCACUGGUGUGAGGUGAAAUCCAGCACGGGGUGGCCCUGGGUAAUGAGAGGGGGCAGGUGAGGGUUAUUAGGGGCCUCUAGCCCCCCCAAAAUCAGCCCUUGAGGGCCAGAGCAAGGGUUUGGCCCACUGCAGGUGGACUCACAGCAGAAGCAGGAUGAUCUUGACUAAUUCUCAUUAGAUUAUUAAUGAAAAGCUGGUGGGUUAUAAAUUAGAAAGUAAGAGCUGAUCUCUGUGGGCCCAACUCCUCAGCUGACAUCCAGCAUCUAACUCUGGCUUUUGGAGUGGUGGCAGAGAGUCUCAAAGAGAUUCAACAGCAUCCAGGCAACAAGAGCUCUUACGAGAAAGCUCAGGUGAACGUGUCUCAAGUAUACAUCCAGGAAUGGCUCAGCCAGCUAACAGGGGAGCUGAUCCAACUGUUUUGGAGCUUUGAGCUGAAGUGAUGGAGGGAAAGCCAUGCAGGCUGUAGUGGAAGUAGAGCUGAAGCCAAAGGACCGGUUGAGCUCCUCAGAACCCAUUACUCCAACUGGUAAAAAAAGAGAUUAAUUUCUCUCUGCAAACUCUGCCUCACUAUGAACUCUUCUGCAUAAUGUCAUUAUUUGGACUAUGAUGGAAAAAGAGAGGCAGGAAAAUAUGUAAUGUAAUGUUGUUCUUUCAAAGAUAGCAUGCAGUUCUCACCUAAUACUGCUGGUGUAUUGGGCAGUUAUAAAAUACUGGGUGGGGGAUUUUCCAACAGAGUAUUGGCAGAAAUUUGCCAAUUCUGUGUGAGC
RNAcentral lists this long non-coding RNA (1064 nucleotides) under Anas platyrhynchos platyrhynchos (common mallard). Its description in RNAcentral is "lncRNA (ENSAPLG00000022552.1)". Lineage: Eukaryota; Metazoa; Chordata; Aves; Anseriformes; Anatidae. The record is from RNAcentral.